UAGAGUUUGAUCCUGGCUCAGGAUUAACGCUGGCGGUAUGCCUAAUACAUGCAAGUCGAACGAGAUUUAUGAUUAAGUUUCAAGUCCCAAGUUCCAAGUUUUGAGUUUAUCUUAAACACUUGUUACAUGGCACCUGAUACUUUAUUACAUUUCUAGUGGCGGACGGGUGAGUAACACGUUGGAACCUGCCCCAAAGUGAGGAAUAAGCCACCGAAAGGUGGUCUAAUACUUCAUAAUAUCCAUCUCGUAUGGAUUAAAGCUUUAUGCGCUUUGGGAGGGGCCUGCGUAACAUUAGCUUGUUGGUGAGGUAAAAGCUCACCAAGGCUUCGAUGUUUAACUGGUUUGAGAGGAUGACCAGUCACACUGGGACUGAGAUACGGCCCAGACUCCUACGGGAGGCAGCAGUAAGGAAUCUUCCACAAUGGGGGCAACCCUGAUGGAGCAAUACCGCGUGCAGGAUGAAGCGUUUCGGCGUGUAAACUGCAUUUAUCACCGAAGAUUAUGACUGUAGGUGAAGAAUAAGGACCGAGCGGACUACGUGCCAGCAGCCGCGGUAAUA
RNAcentral lists this ribosomal RNA (559 nucleotides) under uncultured bacterium. Its description in RNAcentral is "bacterial SSU rRNA". It matches the Rfam family "Bacterial small subunit ribosomal RNA", at positions 1 to 525 of the family's 1533-position model. The record is from RNAcentral.